Molecule: non-coding RNA, 1003 nt
Organism: Vicugna pacos (alpaca)
Lineage: Eukaryota; Metazoa; Chordata; Mammalia; Artiodactyla; Camelidae
Source: RefSeq, a predicted model, not a curated record
CCUGGGCUCCACACCCUGGUGUCGUCCCCUCCCACGUUGACUCGGAGCUUGGCUAUGCGACUUACUUUUGCUAAUGGGACAGCAAAUGGAACACAAGUGGAGAUUGGAAAAAUGAUUGCGAGUUGAGCCUUUCCUUCUCUCCUGCUGCUUUUGGAACCUGGCCAUGGUGUAAGGAAGCCAAAGCGGGUUUCUGGAGACUCACGGCCCAGCAAACAGCCAGCCUCCAUGACUAGAAGGUUCACCCCAGAUAUCUGUCUUCUUCUAGGAAGAGGGAUGUGUGUGUGCAGUAAAGACGAGGAGGAAGAGGGAGGGAUGCAGAUACACACUGAUCACAGAAGGAACUCCCAGAGAGAGACCCAGGUCUGGAGUCAGUGUUAACAACAGCAGAUCCAUUUUUUUAAAGCACCAUUUCUAUUCUGAUCCUCCUGGAUUGAGACUCUUCAAUGACAACUAUUACCUCCAGGGAGAAGGCCAAACGCUGCAUGUGGAAUGAUAUCCGUGUCCUCUACAGCCCCCUUGAGUUCACAUGUUGAAAUUCUAAGACCCAAUGUGAUGGUAUUAGGGGGUGGGGCCUUUGGGAGGUGCUUAAGUCAUGAGGGCAGAGCUCUCACGACUAGGACCCCACCGACUCCCUCACUUCCUCCACCAUGUGAGGUUAUAACGAGCAGUUAACCUGCAACCAAGCAGGCCUUCGCCAGAACUUGACUGAGCUGGCACCUUGAGCUUGGAGUCCCAUCCUCCGAACUAAGAAAUGGGUUUCUGUUGCAUGUGAGCCACUCAGUCUCAGAUAGUUUUAUCACAGCAGCCUGAAUGGACUAAGACAGACUGCAAAUAGAAAACAAUUUAACAAUGUGCAUUAGUCUCCUGUGACUACCAUGACAAACCCGGUGACUGAAAACAGCAGAAAUGUAUUCCUUCACGGUUCUGGAGACCAGAAGGCUGAAAUCAAUGUGUCCACAGAGUUGGUUCCUCCUGGAGGCUCUGAGGGAGAAUCCAUCUCCUG